Molecule: ribosomal RNA, 301 nt
Filed under: uncultured bacterium
Lineage: Bacteria
Description: partial 16S ribosomal RNA
Rfam family: Bacterial small subunit ribosomal RNA
Source: RNAcentral
CAGUCGCCGCGGUAAUACGAAGGGGGCUAGCGUUGCUCGGAAUCACUGGGCGUAAAGGGCGCGUAGGCGGACUGAUAAGUCAGGGGUGAAAUCCCAAGGCUCAACCUUGGAACUGCCUUUGAUACUGUUUGUCUUGAGUUCGAGAGAGGUAAGUGGAACUGCGAGUGUAGAGGUGAAAUUCGUAGAUAUUCGCAAGAACACCAGUGGCGAAGGCGGCUUACUGGCUCGAAACUGACGCUGAGGCGCGAAAGCGUGGGGAGCAAACAGGAUUAGAUACCCGAGUAGUCCCUGUCUCUUAUAC